This is an RNA transcript of Argentina anserina (silverweed cinquefoil), 2152 nucleotides long. It is a transcript of the gene named phenylalanine--tRNA ligase beta subunit, cytoplasmic, with no coding region annotated. NCBI's taxonomy places the organism in Eukaryota, Viridiplantae, Streptophyta, Magnoliopsida, Rosales, Rosaceae. The record is from RefSeq and is a predicted model, not a curated record. The transcript has 20 exons.
UUCUUAUAAUUCUUCUAUUUUAACCUCUCUGCGUCACCGGAGAAGAACGAAGCAGAGUCCACCAUGCCGAUGGUGAGCGUAGGACGGGAUCGUCUAUUCGCCGCCUUAGGCAAACCUUACACUAAAGAAGAGCUAAAGGAUGAGGAAGUGAGCGAGAGAGCUAAGAGAGAGUUCGAUGAUGACUGCUUCCGCUUCGGAAUUGAGCUCGACGACGUCACGACUGAGAAAGCGAUUGUGAGGAAAGAGAAGCAUCUGGAUGAAGCAGAAGCCGACGAAGAUGAGGAAGUUAUUUACAAAAUCGACAUUCCUGCUAAUAGAUAUGAUUUGCUUUGCCUCGAAGGGCUGUCACAGGCUCUCCGUAUCUUCGAGAAGAAACAGGAGGUUCCUCAGUACAAGUUGGCGAAUAUUAGCAAGGAGUCGAUGAUGAAAAUGCAUGUCACACCAGAGACAUCUUUGAUUCGACCUCAUGUUGUUUGCGCUGUUUUGAGAGGAGUGACUUUCACUGAAGCAAGCUAUAACAGCUUUAUUGACCUCCAAGAUAAGCUGCAUCAGAAUAUCUGCAGGCGGCGAACCCUUGUUGCCAUUGGGACUCAUGACUUGGACACAGUACAAACUCCUUUCUCAUAUGAGGCUUUGCCACCUUCAAGCAUAAGUUUUGUGCCACUGAAGCAGGUGAAGAAAUUUAGAGCUGAUGAGCUCAUGGAAUUUUACAAGUCAGAUUUAAAGCUGAAGAAGUUCCUCCACAUAAUAGAGAACUCCAAGGUUUAUCCUGUUAUAUAUGAUAAAAACAGAACUGUUUUGUCGUUACCUCCAAUUAUAAAUGGUGCUCAUUCAGCAAUCACUUUAAAGACGAAGAAUGUUUUUAUAGAAUGUACAGCUACUGAUUUGACAAAGGCCAAGAUUGUUCUGAACACAAUAGUGACAGCAUUUUCAUCAUAUUGUGAAAGAAAGUUUGAGAUUGAACCUGUUGAAGUGAUAUAUCCUGAUGGAAAAUCAUACGUGUAUCCUGAUUUAUCAGUCUACACCAUGGAUGUUUCUCUGUCAUACAUUAAUAGCCGCAUUGGACCAUCUUUGGGGGCUGAUGAGGUCAUUGAUCUGUUGAAGAAAAUGCAAUUGGGGGCUCAGCAGUCUGUAUCAGGGAAUAAGUCGGACACUAUCACAGUACUUGUACCACCAACAAGAAGUGACAUCCUUCACCCUUGUGAUGUCAUGGAGGAUGUUGCAAUUGCAUAUGGUUAUAACAAUAUACCACCGACAAUGCCUGCUUCUUCAUCUGGAUCUUUGAAACCACUUGUCUUGAAUGAGUUUAGUGAUAUGCUCAGAUCCGAGAUUGCAAUGAAUGGGUAUACAGAGGUUUUGAAUUUCACACUGUGCUCUUGGAAAGAGAACUUUGACCUGUUGCGUCGUAAAGAUGACAAAUCAAAGGCUGUUGUUGUUGGAAAUCCUCGCUCUUCUGAUUUUGAGCUUGUACGGACCACUUUGAUGCCUGGCAUAUUGAAAUCCGUGGGUCACAACAAAGAUCACCCAAAGCCCAUAAAGGUUUUUGAAGUGGGUGAUGUUGCUAUAUUGGAUGAGACAAAAGAUGUUGGUGCAACAAACCGGCGCCAGUUAGCAGCGUUGUACUGUGGUGCUAGCUCUGGAUUUGAGUUAAUUCAUGGGUUAGUAGAUAGAAUCAUGGAAGUACUUGGGGCUGUCUUUGUUCCUAAGGGAGACGCUGUUAGUGGCGACACUGCAAGCUAUUACUUACAGCGUGCAGAGGAGCCUGAGUUUCUGCCCGGUGUACAAGCAAGCAUCUAUUACAAAGGGAAGCAAAUUGGAACUUUUGGUGUUGUGCACCCUGAGGUCUUAAGGAACUUUGAUAUUCCUGAUCCAUGCUCAUAUGUGGAAAUGAACAUGGAGAGUUUCUUGUAGUUAUAAUGUACGCUUCUGAAGGCUGAUUUUGGCUUACAGGCACCAAAAGGAAAUUAUGGAGACAACAUGCAUAGCAUUUCUCUGGAGUGUUGUCAAUUAUUGUUCAAUUGAUGGGAUUGGAAUUGCCUUUUCCAACGGUCUUCCAGCUUUGUACCAGAGAAGCCUGCAAAAAGAGAGUACAUUAACACAAACAUGGAGAUGCAUUGUAAUAGAAUUUCGCUGUUUCCCACUAAUAGAUUCC